GAAAGGCCUGGGGUGCCCCGCGAGGGGAGCCCUAGCACAGGUGCUGCAUGGCCGUCGUCAGCUCGUGCCGUGAGGUGUUGGGUUAAGUCCCGCAACGAGCGCAACCCCGCCGUUAGUUGCCAGCGGUUCGGCCGGGCACUCUAACGGGACUGCCCGCGAAAGCGGGAGGAAGGAGGGGACGACGUCUGGUCAGCAUGGCCCUUACGGCCUGGGCGACACACGUGCUACAAUGCCCACUACAAAGCGAGGCCACCCGGCAACGGGGAGCUAAUCGCAAAAAGGUGGGCCCAGUUCGGAUUGGGGUCUGCAACCCGACCCCAUGAAGCCGGAAUCGCUAGUAAUCGCGGAUCAGCCAUGCCGCGGUGAAUACGUUCCCGGGCCUU
This 383-nucleotide ribosomal RNA is filed under the name uncultured Thermus sp. Its description in RNAcentral is "bacterial SSU rRNA". It matches the Rfam family "Bacterial small subunit ribosomal RNA", at positions 1003 to 1382 of the family's 1533-position model. Lineage: Bacteria; Thermotogati; Deinococcota; Deinococci; Thermales; Thermaceae. The record is from RNAcentral.